RNA transcript from Amaranthus tricolor (Joseph's coat), 3436 nucleotides. RefSeq lists it as uncharacterized. The transcript is spliced from 5 exons. The record is from RefSeq and is a predicted model, not a curated record. Lineage: Eukaryota; Viridiplantae; Streptophyta; Magnoliopsida; Caryophyllales; Amaranthaceae.
UUUCUUCUAUCUUCCUCCUCAUUCUUCCUCAUCUCCCUCCCUCACCAAGAAUCCAACUAUCACAAUUACCAACCCAACCACCACAGCAGCUGACAGCCGCCGCCACCUACUGCCGCCACCUACUGCCGCCACUUUACGGCAGCCGCCACUUGCUGCCCCCACCACAAGUAGUAGUUUUGGAGGGUACUUCUCUCCUUCUUCCCAUCUCAUCCUUGUUCAUAAACUUGCAAAUUACUACUCCUUGGUGAUCUACAGCUUAUUAAGGUACCUUUAUAUUAUGAAUUUUUUUAGUUCUUUUUGUUUUAAAAAAAAUAUUUCGUUUAAAGUGGUCAUUUAUACUUAAACUCUAUAAAUAUGUCAAAUGUACUUGUUAUUUGCCAUGAUUUUCAUAAUGUGGUUGUUUGUUCAUGAAUUUAAUGUAGAAAAUGUUUAAAUUUAAUGUAGAGAAUGUUUGAAUGUGAACCCUAAUUUUGAACAAUGUACUUGCUUUCUUAUGAACUUGAUGGUGAUGUUGAUUUUGUACGUAUUGUUGUAGAAAUGACUUUAUUUCGUGUGACUGUCGUAUGUUUUUGUAAUGGUUCAAUUCGAUCAAGUAGUAGCAAUGUUAAGUAUGUUGGGGGAAAACGUAAAUUGUUUGCAUGCAGCUCAAACAUGAACUUGAAUGAAUUUAAACAUCUUAUAUCUCUAAGAUAGGCAUUGACACUACAAGAAUUACUGUUAAUGUAAGUUUUAAAUACAAUAUGAGUGGAGAAUUGUUAGCUCUUUCGGUUGAGGAUGAGGAGGCUAUAGAUGCAAUGUGGGAGUAUUCAAAGUCUACCUCUAUUCCUUCUUUAGAUUUAUAUGUAGAAGAGGUACCCCUAGGGAAUCAAGAUGUCAACGUUGUAGAAACAAAUGUAUUCCUGAAUGUAACUUCGUCUGUUCCUUCUCCUACGCCCUUUCCUACCCAAGAAACCAAAAAUCCCACUAUGCUAUCUUCCUCUUCUCCUUCUAAUGAACCCAAUCAAUUUUAAAUUCAAGUCUCAAAUGAUUAUACUUUUAACUUAGAAGAUACAUAUAAGCCUUGGGAUGAUGUUAAUAGUGAGAGUAAUUAAUUCGCUGAAGCUCCUUCUGAGGACGAUGUGGGUGUUGAUGAGGAGGCUCUAGCUAAUGACAUGACCUUAGGCAACAUUCUAACAAUCGUUGCUCCUACACCUUAUGCACUAGUUCUCCCUUUAGAUGAACACGUUGAGGACAAAUCUUGAAGGUCUUGGCAUGUGAUACAACCUACACUGAUGAAGGAGAGUUUCAAAAGGGUAUGAUGUUUGAUAACAAGGAUGCCUUGUUGGACGCUGUUAGAUUGUAUCAUAUUCGUAGGAACUUUGAGUAUCGAACUGAGACUUCAAAUCAAACCGUGCUUACCUUGAAGUGUUAGAGAGGGUGUGCUUGAAGGCUAAGGGCUAGGAUGAGCUCCUAUUCACCUUCAUGGGAGAUUGUUACAUAUAAAGGGAAGCAUGGGGGUUGUGGAUUAAGUACUGAAAAUGUGUCAGCUGGGCACAUUCAUUUGACAUCUUCCGUGAUUAACAAUGUUAUUAGAAAUUGUGUUGCUGAAGUCUCAUCAAUUAAGGUCUUUGUGGUGCGACAAAUGGUGAAAGACCAAUUUGGUGUCGAAGUGACCUAUAAGCUGGCAUGGUGUGCUAAACAGCAAGCCCUUCUCUCCAUCCAUGGGACAUGGUAAGACUCUUAUCCUCUCCUUCCUCACUUCUUGAAAGCAAUGCAAGUUUCUAACCCCGGGACUGUAGUUGAGUGGUUCUUUAAGGAAGAUAAUGAUGUUGGUGUGUACGUCCGUCCUAGUAUUAUAACUUUCCAACGUGUGUUCUGGGCUUUUAAACCUAGUAUAAAGGGGUUCAAGUAUUGCAAACCCCUUAUUGCCAUUGACAGAACACACUUGUACGGUAAGUAUCGCCAUACAUUAUUGAUUGUGAUUGCUCGAGAUGGGAACAAGGGAAUCUUCCCGCUUGCCUUUGCUUUAGUAGAGAAGGAAUGCAUAGCUGCGUGGUCUUGGUUUAUGGCGUGUAUUCGUAAGCAUGUGAUGCAUAGUUUAUAUUUAUGUGUUAUUUCUUAUAGACAUGCGGGCAUUGUAGCAACCAUAGAGGAGCUGGAAUAGAAACCUCUAAAUGCCCAUCAUAGGUUUUGCUUGCGGCAUUUGUUAAGUAACUUCAAUUGUCACUUUACUUGACGUAGCUGUGCUUACACGGCUUCCCAUCGAGGGACAUGCUGUUUCUACCGUUGGACGCUAACUCGAAAGUUGGCAAGAUAUAGUUCAUAGGGUCUUAGAAGUCCGACCUCCCCUAGAGGCAGCCAAAGGGAGUGGGUUGCGCGUAACAUGGCUUGCGCAGAACUUCUCGCACCUCCCUGAAGGUGCUGAUGAGGCUACCAUGGCGUAUCUCUUACAUCUAAUUGGUGUUGUCUUGUUCUCCGACAAGACUGGCAACAGAGUACAGCUUUUGUACUUGACGUUGCUUGAUGCACCAUGGGAGGUAAUCUCCGGUUACAGUUGGGGUUCCGCAGCCCUAGGUUAUCUGUACAGGAGACUUUGUGACGCUUCACGGAAGAACUUUAAGGAGAUCGCUGAGCCCCUGAUUAUUCUCCAGCUUUGGCCGUGGGAGCACAUUCUCAUUGGGCAACCAAUGAGGACUGUGGGACGUGGUGCAUUUACGCCACCAAUUCUUCCACCCCUACAUGUGCCGUAUGGAUCGCGUUGGUCCUUUGAUAGACGUACAAGGACCCACACAGGAUCUGGCGUGGGCUUCUACCGCGAUCAAUUUGAUAUGCCUCGAGCUGACCAGUUUCGAUGGGACCGUUACCCCGCUGAGGCAUACGCUGCAUUGCCUCAGCGCUCAGACAUAUUGUGAGGGGCGUGGAGAGCAUCUGUGCCUCUGAUUUGCUUCGACAUAGUCGAAGUGCAUCUCUCUGAGCGCGUACUGCGCCAAUUUGAGAUGGUAUAGGGUAUCCUGCCGCCAUGUGACACAGAGGCGGAGCUCCAUCACAGCUGACGCAAGGGUCGGGAACCCAAGAAACUAGCGCCAUAUCGCUCGUUGGGAGCACAGGCUAGAGCUGCUGGCCCAAGGUGGGCCGAUCGAUGUUGUAGGCGCACCUACUUCAGCGGAUUACAUGCCGUGGUUCCUCUCCAUCACUCAUCGAUCGAUGACACCACAAGGUAUCAUCGCAGCCGCCCAGUAUGCUUCCGCAGUACCGACGAUGACACAGUUUAUUUAAAGUGGGCCGUUGAAUGGAUAAACGAGGGCCCAACUCCAAACUAUUUGCCUUCCUCUUUCUAUAAAAAUGAGAAAUUUUCUGGACAACAAGCUUGAACAACAAGCCUCCAACCUCAAGUUCAAAUCGCCGACUUCCAACAUUUCACGUCUCUAGAACUCUAGAAUAAUCUUCUUCAUCCAAA